Molecule: non-coding RNA, 108 nt
Filed under: Oryzias latipes (Japanese medaka)
Lineage: Eukaryota; Metazoa; Chordata; Actinopteri; Beloniformes; Adrianichthyidae
Description: Eukaryotic large subunit ribosomal RNA
Rfam family: Eukaryotic large subunit ribosomal RNA
Source: Rfam by way of RNAcentral
CCUUCGAUGUCGGCUCCUCCUGUCAUUGUAAAGCAGAAUUCACCAAGCGUUGGAUUGUUCACCCACUGAUGGGGAACGGGAGCUGGGUUUAGACCGGCGGGAGAAUUU